CCACCGAAUACAUUAGCAUGGGAUAAUGGAAUAGGACCCUGUCCUCCUAUUUUCAGUUGGUUUGCCGCGAGGACCAGGGUAAUGAUUAAUAGGGAUAGUUGGGGGCAUUAAUAUUUAAUUGUCAGAGGUGAAAUUCUUGGAUUUAUGAAAGAUUAACUUCUGCGAAAGCAUCUGCCAAGGAUGUUUUCAUUAAUCAAGAACGAAAGUUAGGGGAUCGAAGACGAUCAGAUACCGUCGUAGUCUUAACCAUAAACGAUGCCGACCAGCGAUUAGGAGACGUUGAAUACAAAACACCACCAUGCGCAUUGCGGUCGUCUUUGGUGUCGCUCACAAGGCGGCACCGGGGCGGCUUAGCUCGCAUGGCACCGGUGAAUGACUCCCCUAGCAGCU
RNAcentral lists this ribosomal RNA (390 nucleotides) under Acanthamoeba genotype T3. RNAcentral's name for it is "SSU rRNA". It matches the Rfam family "Eukaryotic small subunit ribosomal RNA", at positions 792 to 1088 of the family's 1831-position model. Lineage: Eukaryota; Discosea; Longamoebia; Acanthamoebidae. The record is from RNAcentral.